GAAUUUAGCAGAGAUGCUUUAGUGGCCUUCGGGAACUCUGAGACAGGUGCUGCAUGGCUGUCGUCAGCUCGUGUUGUGAAAUGUUGGGUUAAGUCCCGCAACGAGCGCAACCCUUAUCCUUUGUUGCCAGCACGUAAUGGUGGGAACUCAAAGGAGACUGCCGGUGAUAAACCGGAGGAAGGUGGGGAUGACGUCAAGUCAUCAUGGCCCUUACGAGUAGGGCUACACACGUGCUACAAUGGCGCAUACAAAGAGAAGCGACCUCGCGAGAGCAAGCGGACCUCAUAAAGUGCGUCGUAGUCCGGAUUGGAGUCUGCAACUCGACUCCAUGAAGUCGGAAUCGCUAGUAAUCGUAAAUCAGAAUGUUACGGUGAAUACGUUCCCGGGCCUUGUACACACCGCCCGUCACACCAUGGGAGUGGGUUGCAAAAGAAGUAGAUAGCUUAACCUUCGGGAGGGCGUUUACCACUUUGUGAUUCAUGACUGGGGUGAAGUCGUAACAAGGUAGGCGUAGUGCU
This 518-nucleotide ribosomal RNA is filed under the name uncultured bacterium. RNAcentral's name for it is "bacterial SSU rRNA". It matches the Rfam family "Bacterial small subunit ribosomal RNA", at positions 993 to 1509 of the family's 1533-position model. The record is from RNAcentral.